This 5363-nucleotide long non-coding RNA is filed under the name Canis lupus familiaris (dog). Its description in RNAcentral is "lncRNA (ENSCAFG00845020642.1)". The record is from RNAcentral. Lineage: Eukaryota; Metazoa; Chordata; Mammalia; Carnivora; Canidae.
UUUUUUUUUUUUUUUUUUUUUUUUUUUUUUUUUUUUGUGCAGGUGGUAAGAAUUUGAGGCAGCUGCUUUCAGGACUCCCUGGCUUGUAUAAUUUCACCCUAUGGUUGAGCAGGAAAUACUUUUAAAAUGCUGCCCGCUCAAACAUCACACUUAGGCUCUGAAACCACAGUGACAUUUGCUGAAAAAAAAAAAAAAAAAGAAUAUGUCUUUUUAUGUCAAAACUGAGAAGAAAAAAAAUAAGUGUUUAUUCUGAUCACUGUGACCUUAACAAAACCUAAGUAAGGAAGGCUUGCCGGUCAGGGUGUGCCCAAGGGAGUUCCUUGGGGCCCCGUGAGCCCCACUUGUCCAAUGAUACUAAAGGAGUCUCAGUACAAACCCCAGGGUGAUGAAGAGACUUUGACUCUCACCCCAGACAUCACACACAGGGCAAAGCCCCUGCUCCAGCACGGGCCUGGGAGAGGAAAGCGUGGCUGGGACUUCAGCUGCCUCAAGGCAGCUGUGCUGAAGUCUUAAGAGCAAAUGCCUGGCCCCAGGAGGUCAAAGUUUGUAUCCCACCUCCUCCUGCUGCUAGCUGCCGGAUACUAGCCAAGUUCCUUAGCUGUGCUAUGCCUCAAUUUACUCCUAUGAAAAUGGGGAUAGAAGUAGUAGUGAUCUCGGGGUUGCUAUGAGAAUGUGAUGAGUUCAUAUGGAGAAAGCGCUCAGAGUCUCUGCAGGAUUUCAACAGAAAUUAAGCCAUUAUUAUUAUUAUUAUUAUUAUUAUUAUUAUUAUUAUCAUUAUCUCACAGGUCAGGAAAGUGCAAGGAGAGCUAUUUCUACCGGGCCACAGGAAGACGGUCGGUUGGGCACGCUCAUUCUGCCCCGCUAACUCCCUCAUCUCCUUCAAAACGCUUUGUUCAGGGAGGCCUACCUUAUUCUGUUUCAUGUUAUAGCUCACUCCUCCUUCCCAAUCCCCCUCACUGGACUCUACUUUUUCUUUUGUUCGUUGUGUCUAUCACCUUAUAACAUGUUACAGAAUUUAUUUAUAUUUUUUAAGAAACUGUAUCUCACUGGGUGUUAUGCUAUGUUGACAAAUGGAACUCCAAUAAAAAAUGAAAAAAUUUUUAAAAAUUUUAAAAAGAGAGAAAAAAAAAAAAGAAACUGUAUCUCUCUCCCACCACCUCUUACUCCGAGGCCAUAACAUCAGCUCCAUAGGAACACGGGCUUUGGGCAGCCCGGGAGAAGCUGCAUGGAGCCUGCUUCUCCCUCUGCCUAUGUCUCUGCCUCUCUCUCUUUGUGUGUCUCUCAUGAAUAAAUAAAUAAAAUCUUAAAAAAAACAAAAAGGAACACAAAUUUGUUCUGCACACUGGUAUCAUUCAAGAUCCUAAGACAGUGCCUGGCAUGAAGUGUGUACCCAGUAAAUAUAUGAAUGGAUUCACUCAGCAAAUUGAUGCUGUGUUGAUAAGAUGGGUUAGACAAAAAAAAAAACACAAAAAAAACCACGCACACACACACACACACACACACACACACACACACAAAAAAGAUGGGUUAGACACUGUGCAGCAAGAAAGAAAGUAAUCGGUAGGCUUACCCAAGGAUGAAAGAGGCUCCCUCUGGAAGAAGUGUACUCCCUAGUGACGAGAAGUACCCACAAUAUAGGUGAUGCCAGCUUGGCGGGGAAGCCAGAAAAGAGUACUCAAAGACCAGAAGGGAGGUUUAAAGAGGUUAGUCUCUUCUAAACCUAAGAGUUGCAAAUUGUGUAACCUGAAUUUUCUUAAAAUGAGAAGUGGCAAACAUUUGGUGUAAAUCAGAGCUUCUGUCUAAUAACUAUUACUAUCAAUGUCUUAUACUUGUCAGCACCCACCUUUUAACCAAAAUUCUAUCUAAACACCAAUGGAACAUUGCCUUUUCUGAGGAAACAGAAUCUUGCUAGGAGAAACCAAUACAGAUUAUUCUAUUUAAAUAGAAUAAUUCAUUUGUGGAAAUGUAAAUUCUAGGUCUUUGGAAGACAUCGCACAGCUUGCUGUGGCCACAGCCUCUGGAAUGGAAGUUGGCCGAAUCAAGGUCCCUGCUGAAAAGGCAGGCCUUAGGCAGCCCCUUUAAGGUCAAGGGAGGUACCUAAACUGAAUGCAGCAAAACUCUGUGACAAACUUGUGUGACAAACUCUGGCCCAGAAAAGGUACACUGAGCCAAUCAGAUUCCAUUUCAGGAAUGCAAACACACAGAGAUGCACAAAUGAAUGCACAUGCGCACACACACACACACACACACACACACACACACAGAGCUAGUAUCCAGACCAGUAGCUGAGAGGGCAUGACUUUACCUAAACCCUAGAUUCUAGAAGCUGCAUCAUCUGUGAACCAGCUAAAUGGGUAUUAGAUGUGCCAUAGGCAAGUGGCAUCGAGACAGGGAGAAGCAGAGGCCCUCCCUGGGCUGCCUUGGGAUCAAAACCACCAUCCAGUUUCUCCUCAUCCAGAGGUGUAUUUUUCUUCUUUUCCUUUGUUCUCAUAACAAUGCCUGCCCACCCCAUCUUCAUAAUUCGUUCCUGUCCCCAAAAGUCUAACCAGACCAAGUUCAGAAAGGGUGAUGUGACUUGUCCAGAGUUAUACACAAGGUAAAAGAAGGCUAAGGCAGGGUUCCCCUAUUCCAAUUCAGCCCUCUUGUGCUACACCAUAGGAUUAACCGUGUCUGUCUCUGAAUAAUAAUUAAAAUCACUGGAAUUUACAAAAUCAGAGCAUUUAAUGCCUCAAGGAUCUGUAGAAUACAAUGGGUGUAAAAUAAAUAUGUGCUAAUUUGAGCAUUCUAGUUUGGACCUCCUGCCAUAAUACUUCAAUGUCUCAAACAAUGUCUUAAAGGCAUUCCGAUGAAGAAAAGCAUCAUCGCCUUUCAUACGUUUUUCUCCUUUUUACAGAUGGAAAAAUAGAGGUCCUGAAAAUCCAAGAUCCUUUGCUAAUAAUGCCUGGCACAGAGUUUGUGAGGAGCACAGGUUGGUAGGUUGCCCAGGCUUGUGUAGCAUUAGAACAUACAGUUUUUCAGGUUCUCAGAGCUCUGGCCAUAAAAUAAGUUAAUGUAGUUACUCAUGAUAAAUACCAAUCUAGAUACAGAACUUGCGUAAGCACUCAGUAUACAUCCACAGCACCACGCCAUCCAUAAAAACAGGACCAUUUGAGAAAUAAGCUCAGCAUCUGAUCUAACACCAGGAUAUAAAAUCAGUGACCUUUGGUACAGCAGGAAGACUUCACACACAAAUGGGAAAAAGGCUUGCCUUCCUUCUGUCCUCCUUUUAAAACUUCCACUUGCACUGAGUGCAAAAACUGAAGAACCUGAAGUUUGUUCUUUGAAGAAUUUUGGAUGAUACAAACAAAAAUUUGUUUUUGUCCUCACCAUCCUUUCCUUAGGAAAAAUGGAGUAUUUCUGGUGUGUUGGUUGUUAGUCACUUUUUUUUUUCUUUUUGUCUUUCGGUAGGGGGAAGGAUCUGGCUUCUACUUGAAAGAGGCUGGUAGUUUUUUUGAGUUUGUAAUUUGAGAAUGAGUUGAAUGAGAAAAUCUUAAAAGUGAAAAAGAAUUUAGCAAUCCUACACGAAUUUACCCCGGACAGUCCAGAUUUCAACUAUUCCUCCCCACAAUUCCAAGUCAGUCCACUAGUUGACUGGCCACCUACUGGUAUCAAGUACUAGGGAUGCCGGUGAACAAGACAAAGUCUCUACCAGCAAAGGGCAGCAAUCAAACAAUAAACAUGCAAAUGAACACACAAUGGAGAUCAUUUCAAUACUGGCCUUUGCCAUGAGAAGGAUACAGGGUGUUGGAGUGACCGCAGGGAAGAGAAAUGCUUGAUUCAGGGUAAUCCGGGAUGGUCUCAGCCAGGGUAGCCUUGGCACUGAGAUUUAAAUGGGAUUUAAAUGAUGAAAAGAAGAAUCCAUUGGAACAGAAGGAUGUUCCAAAUGAAAGACAUGACCAAUACAGGGGCCUUGAGUGAAGAAGAAGCUUGGUAAGGGAGAGGGAUGAGAGGAAAACCAUUAUGGUGGAAGAAUAGAAAACAUGUGGAUAGGGGCACAAGAGGAGGUUCAAGAAAUAGAUUGGGGUGAGAUCACAUAGGAAGUCAGGGUAAGCGUUUGGCCACAGUGGGAGGUCAUCAGAGGGUUUUAGAGAGGAAGUACCAUGAUCCAAGUUCUGCAUUAGAAACAUCCCUCUGGCUGGCGGGUGGCAGGUGACCUAGAAAAAGGGCAAGAGUGAGAGCAGUCCUUUUGAAGAGGUGGCCUUAGGAGACCAAAGAAGAGAUGAUAAUACUUGGAUUAGGUGUAGAGCAAUUAUAUUUGUCAAAUAUGGAAUUGUAUAUGAUGAAACUUUCUGAUGGCUUAGCCGUGUGAGGAAGGAUAGGCAUCAUGGGUGAGGCUUCAGUUUUUUGUUUUGUCCAAGCAAUGGGAUGGAUGGUGGUGCCAUUUGCUGAGAUGGGAAAGACAAAAUGGAGAGUACAGUUAGGAAGAGAAUCCAUUGUUCUGCGGUCGCUCUGUGAAGUUUGAAAUACCUGGGUGAGAGCCAGGCAGAGAUGUCAAAUAGACACUUGAAUAGAUGAGAUGGCAUUGAGGGAUGGGUACAUUUGAGGGAUAAAUUUGAGAGCUCUCAGUGUUUAGAAAUGGUAUUAAAAAUCAAAGGAGGCAGCCCCGGUGGCCCAGCGAUUUAGCUCCUGCCUUCAGCCCAGGGCCUGAUCCUGGAGACCCGGGAUCGAGUCCCGCAUUGGGCUCCCUGCAUGGAGCCUGCUUCUCCGUCUGCCUGUGUCUCUGCCUCUCUCUCUCUCUCUCUCUCUCUCUCUCUGUGUGUGUUCUCUCAUGAAUAAAUAAAUAAAAUCUUUAAAAAAAAAAAGUCAAAGGACCAAGUGUGACGCUUUAAUGAGUGAGUAAGGACAGAGAGGAGAAGCCAGGAAGAACAGAGGAGUCUAAUAAAAGAAGAGCUACCAGCAGAGGAAUGAAAAGCAAUGAGUUGCUAAUGAGAUGGGGGAAGUCCAAGGGAAUGUGACGUGGAGGCCUAACGAAGAAGAGGUACCAGGAAGGAAGGCUCGGGCAAGUAGGUCCAACGCUGUCAAAAAGUGAAAGGAGAACAGAGAAGUCACUUUUCUUUGACCAAGCCCCAUUGGUGACCUUGAUGAGGGUCCUUUCAAUGGAAGGAUGUGGGAGGAAAUCCUGUCAGAAUGGCCUGCAAGAGAAAGAGUUGAAGAGGUGUAGGUGUAGGAUCCCUGGGUGGCUCAGUGGUUUAGCGUCGCCUUCAGCCUUAGAGCAUGAUCCUGGAGUCCCGGGAUCAAGUCCCGCAUCAGGAUCCCUGCAUGGAGCCUGCUUCUCCCUCUGCCUGUGUCUCUGCCUCUCUCUCUCUCUCUCUCUCUGUCUGUGU